This 433-nucleotide ribosomal RNA is filed under the name uncultured bacterium. RNAcentral describes it as "partial 16S ribosomal RNA". It matches the Rfam family "Bacterial small subunit ribosomal RNA", at positions 29 to 507 of the family's 1533-position model. The record is from RNAcentral.
AACGAACGCUGGCGGCAUGCCUAACACAUGCAAGUCGAACGAGACCUUCGGGUCUAGUGGCGCACGGGUGCGUAACGCGUGGGAACCUGCCCUUAGGUUCGGAAUAACUCCCCGAAAGGGGUGCUAAUACCGGAUAAUGUCUUCGGACCAAAGAUUUAUCGCCUUUGGAUGGGCCCGCGUUGGAUUAGCUAGUUGGUAGGGUAAAAGCCUACCAAGGCGACGAUCCAUAGCUGGUCUGAGAGGAUGAUCAGCCACACUGGGACUGAGACACGGCCCAGACUCCUACGGGAGGCAGCAGUGGGGAAUAUUGGACAAUUGGAGGAAGCCUGAUCCAGCAAUGCCGCGUGAGUGAUGAAGGCCUUAGGGUUGUAAAGCUCUUUUAACUGGGAUGAUAAUGACAGUACCGGGAGAAUAAGCUACGGCUAACUCCGUG